This 3309-nucleotide long non-coding RNA is filed under the name Pogona vitticeps (central bearded dragon). RNAcentral describes it as "lncRNA (ENSPVIG00000016735.1)". The record is from RNAcentral. Lineage: Eukaryota; Metazoa; Chordata; Lepidosauria; Squamata; Agamidae.
AUGUCCACGGGGGGGCAAAGCAGCCUUUCCGAAAACAUGCCUGUUGAUGAGACUCGGAGCCUUCAAAAGUCGGCGUUUCCCGCGUUCCGGAUGGGCCUGAAAAGGCCUUUCCAGUCCAGCCGUUCUGCGAAGCCCGAGAAACUCUCUGGAGUUUCCAUAGCGUGUGUCCCUCAAAGGCGUGUGUGGUCUCUUGAACGGGCGCUGGACCGGAGAGCAGGGACUGAGCACCUUUCAGAGUUUGGUUCCUGCGGACGGGACGAGGACAAAGGCCCCGAUUGUCGAGCACCGUUUGUCCUGGAGAGACCGGCUCUGCUCCACGUCGUUGAGGCGAAAUUUCCUGGGAGACAGCCCCACAGACCGGGAGAGCCGAAGGUGAAGCGAGUCGAGGAAGCUGCCUAGGCCUGUCUCUCUCUCCCCCCCCCCCCAAUCUGAAGACCGAGGGUCAGCGGACCGACCAGCACUCCGGUUUGUGGAUCUCGUUCUCUCUCAUCGCCUUCUUCGGCCUUCGCGUCAAGAAGGACACUCUGUCCCUCUCUUCCUCGUGCCAGGCCGUGGGACUUUUUGUGCUGGGGCAUAGUGAUGCUGUACGUUUCUGUUCGGUGAUGACAUGGACAGAUGGGAAGGAGACCGCCCGCCCACCGAUGGCGUUUGACCGAGAUAAGGCAGGAAUGCCGGACCUUUGCAUGAGACCACGCAGAUGGGCCGCCUUCUGUCUUAGGCUCUGAGAGACCAGAAGGGAGCAGUGGGGAGGCUGCGAGCUGCUUCUGGAAGACUGCCCCCCCCGCAACCAGGGCCCACCUAAUUGGUAGGGUUGCCCCCCCCAGUUGCUUCUCUUCUCCGGGUCCCGACAGCAGCCUUCCUCCCCCCCACACCCACCCGGGGACCCACGAUGGGGGCAGGUCUCUCUGCUGGGGCCAUUGUGGCGAUUGUCUUCAACGGCGUCAUUGCCUUCCUCCUCCUCCUCCUCUUCCUCAUCCUCUGCAAGGCCUGCCGGACGCCUGCUUGCCCAGACCAGAGCCCUUCCUCGGAGACCGACGAGCGGGGAAAUGAGGAGAAGUAUCUGCUCCAGGCUUGACCCCUCAAGUCUGGAGGACGUCGCGCAAGCUGGCCCUCUGUCCAGCCGUCCAGUUUGGUCAGCAGAGCUGCUAGAAGCUCCCCCACACCAGCCACGUGGUGGCUGAGCCCCUUUGGCAAAGGGCUGGUUGCUGUGAGCAGAGAUGAGUGGCCCACCGUCCUGGCCCGGAGACGAGGGGAGGGCUCUCCCUCCCAUGGGGCAAGGAGCCCCCCACCCCCCUAAGCGGCCGACGGAGACGGGACAGAGAGACGAGCCGGCUUUCAUCUCCUGGCCUGUUGGAUGGCCGUGCCGUGGCCGCCUCAGUGGUGGCUCUGCCAAACCCGGAGACUGGCCCUGUCAAGGUGGUGGCUAGCCCUGCCAUGGAGAAGGCCCAGGACGUGGCCUCUUCUGGAACACGCUGUUUCACGACCCAGGUUUCUAGAAACCCUUGGGUGGGCCGGGGUCUCGUUGAGAGACUUCCUUGCUCCCCUUAUAAGCGGGCCCCACGCUGGCCUCUCCGUCUUCAGGGGCCUUAAGUCUGCCCCGUGGCAGAAAAGGAGUAGAGCCGUGUGAGGCGAUGGGGGUCGGAAGCCUCACGGGAGACGACCAGGCACGGACCGAGCGGGAGGCUUGGCGGGUGGGGGGCAGCACCCCUUGUCCAGAGAGAUGAGUUGAAGCUGCCUCCGAUGCCGGGACCGGUGGCGUCCCAACCCGGCCAGGCCCUUGAGGGCUUUUAUCCCCCCUGAGGGGUAGCCUCUGGGGUACCCUCGUUGUGUCCUUUCGGCACCCCUUCCGGAGCAUCCCGUUUCCACUUCCCGGGAUUCUGGGGAAGGGAGCUGGGGGCAGGCUGUCAGGGGAGGGGAAGGAGGCCCCACGGCCCUCGGGACCAGCUGGCAACGGUGGGGAAAAAAAUGGCAGGUGGGUGGAGAGGUGGGCGAGAGGAAGGGAGAGGGCAGGGAGGAGAGUGGGCAGGAAGGGUGACUCGGUUCCCUGUGCCCACAGCUCUGCCACCACGGCUAGGGUCAUGCAGGGACCGAGCAAAGCAGAUCUCUCUGCUGCAGAAGAAAUGCGAGGGGGAAACUGUGAAAAGCUGAGCACGACAGAACCAAGCACUGUUUCCAAGUUGGGGGAAAGUCCCGCAAGGCAGCAGCAGCCGCUUUGCUGAUGUUCCCAUGGUUGAGUCUGGGAUCUCCGAGCGCAGGGUCUAGUUCAGGCUGGACACCGGCUGAGCCCCCCCCCCCGUGUGUGGGGCCAGGCCUGUGUCCCACCCCAGCUCGGCUGCAAAGGCCUGCCUGGCCAGGGCUAUUCAUGUGGCAGAGGGAGUUGAGCUGGGUGGGGCGUCGGGCUGGCCGAGGUUGCCUUUUGCCCUGUCGGGAGAUGGGGGGGCUGCCCCUUUUGGGGUCUCCCCUUGCCAAAACAGAGGCGCCCGUGUUAGAGAAGCUGAAACAAACAUCUGCCCGAGCUUGGAAAAGACGGCUGCAUUUUUGGACAAGCACUCCCGGAAUUCCCAGCAAGCCUGGGGGAUUUGGGGAGUUGUAGUCCAUGCCUCCAAAUUUUCCCAAGCUCUCCAACCGGAUCCCUUUCUCCCACGAUCUCAUGGAGGCUGCCGUCCGCCGUGAGCCACUGCUUGGGACGGGCCAACGACUUCUGGGCUUGGCCGCCUUCCCUCCCAGCGCCACGGUGGGCUUUCAGAGACCCGUGACCUUCUUCGAGGGAAGCCUCCAUCCAUCCAUCCGCCUCCCCUCCCCUGUUUGGUUUCGAAUGCUAGAGGUCACCACCCACACUGUGACAGUCCAGGAAGGGGGGGGGGGCUUUUCUGCAGAAAAAGGGGGAGGGGAGGCUGUAUGGCUGCAGCUGGAAAGGGGGGGAGAGAGAGGGACCAGGAUGGGAGGAUUGCCCCCCCCAUGUCAGGGGGAGCAGAGGCUCUGAGGCUGCUCCCCCCCCAAACUCAAGCCAAGAGCUCCCGGGCAGCUGGGGCAAGGCAGGCAGGUGAACCGGCCAAAGUCCUUCCGACAGGCAGGCAGAGGUUUAGCCAGGGUCGGGGAGGCGGUGAAGCCACAGCGAGAAGGCGGUGGUGGGGAGGCUGAGUGCUGGGGGGGAUCCAGGGAACUCCUGAGCCACCCCCCCUUGCACUGCUAGGGAGCCCCACUGCUUAUUCCGGUCUUGUUGCUAAUGACUCGCCACUGGCUGCUACAUGUCCCUUCCGGACUGUGAUUUUACUGGACUAAUAAAACAUUGCCCCCUGUUUGUAAUCA